RNAcentral lists this ribosomal RNA (301 nucleotides) under uncultured bacterium. RNAcentral describes it as "partial 16S ribosomal RNA". It matches the Rfam family "Bacterial small subunit ribosomal RNA", at positions 509 to 809 of the family's 1533-position model. The record is from RNAcentral.
CAGUCGCCACGGUAAUACGUAGGGUGCGAGCGUUAAUCGGAAUUACUGGGCGUAAAGCGUGCGCAGGCGGUUCGUUAAGACAGAUGUGAAAUCCCCGGGCUUAACCUGGGAACUGCAUUUGUGACUGGCGAGCUAGAGUAUGGCAGAGGGGGGUAGAAUUCCACGUGUAGCAGUGAAAUGCGUGGAGAUGUGGAGGAAUACCGAUGGCGAAGGCAGCCCCCUGGGCCAAUACUGACGCUCAUGCACGAAAGCGUGGGGAGCAAACAGGAUUAGAUACCCGUGUAGUCCCUGUCUCUUAUAA